Scylla paramamosain (green mud crab) is the source of this 1725-nucleotide RNA transcript. It is a transcript of the gene named Y+L amino acid transporter 2-like, with no coding region annotated. The record is from RefSeq and is a predicted model, not a curated record. The transcript has 8 exons. Lineage: Eukaryota; Metazoa; Arthropoda; Malacostraca; Decapoda; Portunidae.
CGCUAUGCUAUGCAGAGCUGGGCACAUCCAUACCAAAAUCAGGCGGAGACUAUGCGUACAUUAAUGCUGGCUUUGGCUCCCUUCCUGCCUUCCUUUUCCUCUGGGCUGCCAACCUCAUCUUUGUGUAAAGUUAAAGCCCACCACCAAUCCCAUCAUGCCGCUGGCCUUUGCAAAGUAUGUGAUUCAACCGUUCUUCCCCAACUGUGACCUGCCAGAUGAUGCUGUGCGGCUCAUUCCAGCACUGUCCAUAUCUGGAAUGUACGAGUCACCACCAAGCAGCAGGAUUUCUUCAUGGUGACCAAGAUUGCUGCAUUGCCCAUUGUCAUCCUUGCUGGCAUUGUACACCUUUGCAUGGGCAACACUGGGAACUUCCACAACUCCUUCCAGGGCACCAGCACUGAGCCAGGCAAGAUAGCUGUCUCCUUCUACUCAGGCAUAUCUUCCUAUACUGGAUGGAACUACCUCAACUUCAUGAUGGAGGAACUGAAGAACCCAUUUGUCUGAGUACUGUCUCUCCCUCUCUUGGCACCAUACUGCCACUCACUUCUACUCACUUCUACUCACUUGGCACCACACUGCCACUCACUUCUACUCACUUGGCACCACACUGCCACUCACUUCUACUCACUUCUCACACUGCCACUCACUUCUACUCACACUGCCACUCACUUCUACUCACUUCUACUCACACUGCCACUCACUUCUACUCCACACUGCCACUCACUUCUACUCCACGACUGCCACUCACUUCUACUCACACUGCCACUCACUUCUACUCCACACUGCCACUCACUUCUGCUCCACACUGCCACUCACUUUCUACUCCACACUGCCACUCACUUUCUACUCAGGCAUAUUUUCCUACGCUGGAUGGAACUACCUCAACUUCAUGAUGGAGGAGCUGAAGAACCCAUUUGUUAACCUGUCCCGGGCCAUCUACAUCUCCCUGCCACUGGUGACGCUGGUCUACGCGAUGGCCAAUGUUGCCUGCCUGGCUGUGCUCUCCCCUGUCGACAUGCUGGCCUCUGAUGCCAUUGCUGUUACCUUUGCUGACCAAUCUAAUGGGCCGUGGCAGUGGCGGCUGGGUGAUGCCCUUGCUGGUGGCCCUCUCAGUGCACAUCAUGACUUCCUCCAGCAGGAGGGUUGGGAACGAGCCCCUCCAGUGGUGUGCUGUUAACUUCACGUCCUGGGUAUCCAUCCCCCUGAUGUGAGGGACGGAGGACGCGAAGACGUUCCACAGUCUGGGUGAUGCAGAGGAAUGACUGAGAAGAAAGGAAGGAAGAAAGGGAGGAGGAUACAAGAAAGAAGGAAGGAAGGAAGGAAGGAAGGAAGGAAGGAAGGAAGGGAAGGAGGACAAGAAGGAAGAGAAAAGGAGGACACUCUCUCUCUCUCUCUCUCUCUCUCUCUCUCUCUCUCUCUCUCUCUCUCUCUCUCUCUCUCUCUCUCUCUCUCCCACAGACCCACAGGAUAUCCCCCCACAGGAUGUUGACAAACCCCACAGUCACUCCCCUCAGCCCCUCUCUCUCUCUCUCUGUCUCUCACCUACCUUCAGGCCCAGAAUAGGAACCCUGUCAGUGCCCGUCAGGAACUUCAAAAACAACUUCUUCUGCUCCAGGGAGAGUUUGUGAAAUACUUCCCAGAACGUGCGUAUGACCGGGUGGUCUGGGAAACAUUCGCCCUGGAAACACCGACAGAAAUCAAUAAACGGAAGGAUAUUAGUGUGAA